This 982-nucleotide non-coding RNA is filed under the name Drosophila persimilis. RNAcentral describes it as "Eukaryotic large subunit ribosomal RNA". It matches the Rfam family "Eukaryotic large subunit ribosomal RNA", at positions 1 to 796 of the family's 3401-position model. Lineage: Eukaryota; Metazoa; Arthropoda; Insecta; Diptera; Drosophilidae. The record is from Rfam by way of RNAcentral.
CAACCUCAACUCAUAUGGGACUACCCCCUGAAUUUAAGCAUAUUAAUUAGGGGAGGAAAAUAAACUAACCAGGAUUUUCUUAGUAGCGGCGAGCGAAAAGAAAUCAGUUCAGCACUAAGUCACUUUGUCUAUAUGGCAAACGUGAGAUGCAGUGUAUGGAGCGUCAAUAUUCUAGUAUGAGAAAUUAACGAUUUAAGUCCUUCUUAAAUGAGGCCAUUUACCCAUAGAGGGUGCCAGGCCCGUAUAACGUUAAUGGUUACUAGAUGAUGUUUCCAAAGAGUCGUGUUGCUUGAUAGUGCAGCACUAAGUGGGUGGUAAACUCCAUCUAAAACUAAAUAUAACCAUGAGACCGAUAGUAAACAAGUACCGUGAGGGAAAGUUGAAAAGAACUCUGAAUAGAGAGUUAAACAGUACGUGAAACUGCUUAGAGGUUAAGCCCGAUGAACCUGAAUAUCCGUUAUGGAAAAUUCAUCAUUAAAGUUGUAAUAUUUUUUUCAUUUUCAUUUUUCCAUAUAAGGACAUUGUAAUCUAUUAGCAUAUAACAAAUUUAUCAUAAAAUAUGACUUAUAGUUUAUUCAAAUUAUUAUGCUUGCAUUUUAACAUGGAAUAAAUGUCAUUAAUUUGAUAAAGUGUUGAUAAAUUAAAAUUAAUACAGUGCGUUAAUUUUUCGAAAUUAGAUAAUGGCAUAAUUAUCAUUGAUUUUUGUGUUUAUUAUAUGCAUUUGUAUGAUUAACAAUGCGAAAGAUUCAGGAUACCUUCGGGACCCGUCUUGAAACACGGACCAAGGAGUUUAACAUAUGUGCAAGUUAUUGGGAGAUAAACCUAAUAGCGUAAUUAACUUGACUAAUAAUGGGAUUAGUUUUUUAACUAUUUAUAGAUAAUUAACACAAUCCCGGGGUGUUCUAUAUAGUUAUGUAUUAUAAUAAUAUAUUUAUAAUAAUAAUAUAUUUAUAUUAUUUAUGCCUCUAACUGGAACGUACCU